GGAGCUGCAGCUCAGUGGCAGAGCAUUUGCUUCACAUGCAGAAGGUCUCAAGACCAUUCCCUGGCAUCUCCA
RNAcentral lists this transfer RNA (72 nucleotides) under Sphaerodactylus townsendi. RNAcentral's name for it is "tRNA-Val". It matches the Rfam family "tRNA". Rfam says of the family: Transfer RNA (tRNA) molecules are approximately 80 nucleotides in length. Their secondary structure includes four short double-helical elements and three loops (D, anti-codon, and T loops). The record is from RNAcentral. Lineage: Eukaryota; Metazoa; Chordata; Lepidosauria; Squamata; Sphaerodactylidae.